AAAAAAAAAAAAAAAAAAGAAGGAAAUUAUUCAAUAACAUAUCGAAUUUUAUAAAAAAUUAUUAAAAUAACAUGCCAAAAAUCGUGGAUUACAAUCCAGUUGGCAAAAUUGAGAUAUAAAAAAUUUCAUUCAUGUUCUAAGUGUACCUUAAAAAUAUUAUAGUGAUAUAUUAAUAUUUUUUGGCCCUGCAUCAUCAUCAAAUCAAUAAACCAAGUUGAUAAGUUACAUGUGUGAUGAGUCAAUCUUGUCUACAUGUGUUGGGUAGAGGAGGAUUACUCUCAUCCACACCAGCUUGAUGACUAGAAAUAGGAAUCUGUGCACUACUACUAGGAGGUGCUAGGCAGUGGAUUUAAAAAAUUUAGUGGACACAUGUUAGAUUCUCUCUCUUCUUUCCCCUCUUUUCUCAGCACUAGACUAUUCCUAUAUCUCCCCUUUGACCAUAAUUAUCCUGGCCAAAUCCUCUGUCAGCAAUUUCAUCCAUCAGGUUCUAGAUUCAAUUAGAUUGUCAGGUACCUUCUGGAUUAUGUCUCCACCAUCUUCAAUAUACCAAGUAAUUUAUCACACAUGGUUAAUCUGUGCAACUGAUUUAUUUUAUAUCUUAAAAGAAAGAUUAUCUGCAAAUAAUCACAAAAUAAUACUUAAAAUAGGCAAAUUAAACUUAAAAUAACACAGAAAUCAGUAAAUUCUACAAAAAAAUCAUUAAUUUUACCACCAUAUACCACCAUAUUGUGAUUUAUUAUGACAAUGUUUUAUGUAAACAAAUCCGAAAAAUCUUUGAUUUAUAAUCCACACAGCCAGAAUAGCAGUGAUGUCUAUGGCCUAUAUAGGAAUGGGUGUGAUUGGCUAAUUGAUCCAUUAUCAUUCUCCGAAAUUCCACCUUCAUCAAUAACUUUAAGCCAUAUAGUUCUCUCUUCUUAUGUAAGUAAAUCAAGAAGCUCCUAAACUUUUUAUAAUGGGUGUAUUUCACAGAAUAUCCAAGUAGUUAUAUUUUAAAACUAAGCCAUUUCUAGAAUUGCUUUUAUACUGCAUUCACACUUAUGCUGACAAAAUACAAUAAUGCAGCGGAGGCAUACAGCGACAACAUUAUGAUACACUGGAAUAAAGCUAAAAUCAUAAAACCUAUAGUGAGAAGAUCCCAAGCCACAUUGGAGGAGGCAAUAGAAAUCACCAAGGCCAAUAAAAACGGGAAGACCAUUAACUACACCACCGCAACCGAAAUACCAA
RNAcentral lists this long non-coding RNA (1224 nucleotides) under Androctonus crassicauda. Lineage: Eukaryota; Metazoa; Arthropoda; Arachnida; Scorpiones; Buthidae. The record is from RNAcentral.